UGAGGGAAUAUUGGGGUCAAUGGGGCGGAAGCCUGAACCAGCCAAGUAGCGUGAGGGAUGACUGCCCUAUGGGUUGUAAACCUCUUUUAUAAGGGAAUAAAAUACGGGACGUGUCCUGUUUUGCAUGUACCUUAUGAAUAAGGACCGGCUAAUUCCGUGCCAGCAGCCGCGGUAAUACGGAAGGUCCGGGCGUUAUCCGGAUUUAUUGGGUUUAAAGGGAGCGCAGGCGGUCUUAUAAGCGUGACGUGAAAUGCCGCGGCUCAACCGUGGCACUGCAGCGCGAACUGGAUGACUUGAGUGCGCGGGAGGUAGGCGGAAUUCGUGGUGUAGCGGUGAAAUGCUUAGAUAUCACGAAGAACUC
This 361-nucleotide ribosomal RNA is filed under the name uncultured Prevotella sp. Its description in RNAcentral is "bacterial SSU rRNA". It matches the Rfam family "Bacterial small subunit ribosomal RNA", at positions 354 to 709 of the family's 1533-position model. Lineage: Bacteria; Pseudomonadati; Bacteroidota; Bacteroidia; Bacteroidales; Prevotellaceae. The record is from RNAcentral.